CAGGUCUCGCACGCGCGCGCGCGCUCAUCAGCAGCGUCAGCAUCAGCAUCCGUGCAUCAGCAGACCCGGGCGAAAUGAUGCCGCGCGCGGGGCACCGCCGACAUCCAUGCACAAACUUCACUGGGAUACUGCAAAGCUGCGUCGACGGAAGAAGAGCAGAGGAUGGACCAUUUACCUGCAGACUACGGAGGGAGGUGACGUCAUCGUGGGUCCUGGAACCAUGGAAGUUGUGCAUCUAGGAAAAUCUCUGAUUCUUGUAAACAAAAAUGUAAUCUUUAUAUAUUUGCUUGUUUUAUUGUAGUACAAUCAUGUGAGGCAUGUCCCAGAUAUUUCAAAUGUGGGGGCUAUCUAUCUAUCUAUCUAUCUAUCUAUCUAUCUACAGUAUCUAUCUAUCUAUCUGUCUAUCUAUGGCCUAUCUAUUUGUAUUUGAUAUUAAUUUGGUAACAGUAAUUUUUUUCAUUUAAUUGAUUCAACUUUAAUUGAUUCCAUUUGAUUGAUUCAUGUCAUAAUGGAGAUCUUUUAGUUUCAUAUAAAAUGUUUUACAUGAAAACAUUUUUUGUUUAUUUUGGACACUAAUAAUACUGCUAGUGAAAAUGCUUCUAUUUAAUUUUUUGUUUUUUUUUUAAUUUAUUGUGCAUUUCUGUUUACACAGUAUACUGUCAUCAAUUUAAUGCAAAUGCAAAUUGAACAGGAAUUUAGAACCUCUGACCGUCUGUACGAUCAGUAGGGUUGGGAAUUGUUAGAAAUUUUCCGGUAACUGUUCCAUUAAAAUCAUUAAACAACUAUUAAAUAAUAGUGGUAAGGAAAAAUGCACAAUACUCAACUACUCAAUGCUCAAUACUGUUUAUUACUUACUGUCAACUUAAUUUAAAGUUUGGCAAUGUCAAAAUUCAACAUAUAUUAUGCUUUACACAUGUUCAGGUUCCGAUUCCGGUUCCAUUUAAAUGAACUAUUAUUAUGUUUUUUUACUAUUUUACCUUCAUUGAAUGUUGUGUUGCUGGAAGGUAGUAAGUAAUGUUGAGUAAUGCUAGUCCAUCAAUCAGCAUGUGCUUCAAAGUUGAUGUUUUUUACACCAUCAAUAACAUUUAGCUUUUCAAGCAGGAAUAAGCUGGUUGGCCAAGUAGUCCCUUGAGAGCUAUGACACUUGUUCAUUUCCCUAAAUUAAUGAAUUAUAAACACACUCCAUAAAGCC
Molecule: long non-coding RNA, 1192 nt
Organism: Cyprinus carpio (common carp)
Lineage: Eukaryota; Metazoa; Chordata; Actinopteri; Cypriniformes; Cyprinidae
Source: Ensembl